This 460-nucleotide ribosomal RNA is filed under the name uncultured bacterium. Its description in RNAcentral is "partial 16S ribosomal RNA". It matches the Rfam family "Bacterial small subunit ribosomal RNA", at positions 338 to 795 of the family's 1533-position model. The record is from RNAcentral.
CCUACGGGUGACAGCAGUGAGGAAUAUUGGUCAAUGGACGAGAGUCUGAACCAGCCAAGUAGCGUGAAGGAUGACUGCCCUAUGGGUUGUAAACUUCUUUUAUAUGGGAAUAAAAUGUUCCACGUGUGGGAUUUUGUAUGUACCAUAUGAAUAAGGAUCGGCUAACUCCGUGCCAGCAGCCGCGGUAAUACGGAGGAUCCGAGCGUUAUCCGGAUUUAUUGGGUUUAAAGGGAGCGUAGGUGGAUUGUUAAGUCAGUUGUGAAAGUUUGCGGCUCAACCGUAAAAUUGCAGUUGAAACUGGCAGUCUUGAGUACAGUAGAGGUGGGCGGAAUUCGUGGUGUAGCGGUGAAAUGCUUAGAUAUCACGAAGAACUCCGAUUGCGAAGGCAGCUCACUGGACUGCAACUGACACUGAGGCUCGAAAGCGUGGGUAGCAAACAGGAUUAGAUACCCCAGUAGUC